RNAcentral lists this transfer RNA (66 nucleotides) under Carphodactylus laevis. RNAcentral's name for it is "tRNA-Tyr". Lineage: Eukaryota; Metazoa; Chordata; Lepidosauria; Squamata; Carphodactylidae. The record is from RNAcentral.
AGGUAGAAUGGCCGAGGUAGGCGGCAGGCUGUAGUCCUGUUUACAUUGGUUUAUCCCUUUUUCUAU